AUUUUGUUCAUUUGGAUUAUGC
This 22-nucleotide microRNA is filed under the name Oreochromis niloticus (Nile tilapia). RNAcentral describes it as "oni-miR-10897". The record is from miRBase by way of RNAcentral. Lineage: Eukaryota; Metazoa; Chordata; Actinopteri; Cichliformes; Cichlidae.